This 201-nucleotide ribosomal RNA is filed under the name uncultured prokaryote. RNAcentral's name for it is "partial 16S ribosomal RNA". It matches the Rfam family "Bacterial small subunit ribosomal RNA", at positions 524 to 724 of the family's 1533-position model. The record is from RNAcentral.
UACGGGUGAGGCAAGCGUUGUUCGGAAUCAUUGGGCUUAAAGCGCGUGUAGGCGGCGUCGUAAGUACCUUGUGAAAUCCCUUCUCUCAAUGGAGGAAUUGCUUGGUAUACUGCGAUGCUUGAGGCAGGUAGGGGUGCUUGGAACUCUAGGUGGAGCGGUGAAAUGCGUAGAUAUCUAGAGGAACGCCAGUGGCGAAAGCGG